RNAcentral lists this ribosomal RNA (498 nucleotides) under uncultured bacterium. RNAcentral's name for it is "partial 16S ribosomal RNA". It matches the Rfam family "Bacterial small subunit ribosomal RNA", at positions 30 to 523 of the family's 1533-position model. The record is from RNAcentral.
AUUGAACGCUGGCGGCAUGCUACACAUGCAAGUCGAACGGUAACAGGGUGCUUGCACCGCUGACGAGUGGCGAACGGGUGAGUAAUGCGUCGGAACGUGCCGAGUAGUGGGGGAUAACGCAGCGAAAGUUGUGCUAAUACCGCAUACGUACUGAGGUAGAAAGUGGGGGACCUUCGGGCCUCGCGCUAUUCGAGCGGCCGACGUCUGAUUAGCUAGUAGGUGAGGUAAAGGCUCACCUAGGCGACGAUCAGUAGCGGGUCUGAGAGGAUGAUCCGCCACACUGGGACUGAGACACGGCCCAGACUCCUACGGGAGGCAGCAGUGGGGAAUUUUGGACAAUGGGCGAAAGCCUGAUCCAGCCAUGCCGCGUGUCUGAAGAAGGCCUUCGGGUUGUAAAGGACUUUUGUCAGGGAGGAAAUCCCUAGUGCUAAUAACACUGGGGGAUGACAGUACCUGAAGAAUAAGCACCGGCUAACUACGUGCCAGCAGCCGCCGUAA